This is a non-coding RNA of Macaca mulatta (Rhesus monkey), 292 nucleotides long. NCBI's taxonomy places the organism in Eukaryota, Metazoa, Chordata, Mammalia, Primates, Cercopithecidae. The record is from RefSeq and is a predicted model, not a curated record.
UAAAACCAGCACAAGAGGGCCGCGAUAUUCCCGUCUCUGCUUGGUCUGUGUGGUCUGCAAUUAAAACAGCCCUGGAGCCCUUCCACACUGAGGAGGAGAAGGAGGAUUUUCAGGAUGACAUAGGAAAGUUGAAUAAUCAGGAGUCUAAUUAUCAGCAAAGUGAACCAUGACAGUCUCCUUUAAAAAAGGGCGAGAAACGGGAAGGAAUUUCUCUGGGAUUUCCUGAACCAUCAGGAGGGUCCCCGCAUAAGAGAUCAUUUAAGCCACGGGGAGAUCAACUUACAUGAAUUUU